RNAcentral lists this small nuclear RNA (107 nucleotides) under Peromyscus maniculatus bairdii (prairie deer mouse). The record is from RNAcentral. Lineage: Eukaryota; Metazoa; Chordata; Mammalia; Rodentia; Cricetidae.
AUGCUUGCUUUGGCAGCACGUAUACUAAACCUGGAGUGACACAGAGAAGAUUAGCAUGGCCCCUGUGCAGGGAUGACACACACAUUGGUGAAGCAUUCCAUAGUUUU